UACGGGCAUCCCUAGUAGCGGCGAGCGAAGCGGGAAGAGCUCAAAUUUAUAAUCUGGCACCUUCGGUGUCCGAGUUGUAAUCUCUAGAAAUGUUUUCCGCGUUGGACCGCACACAAGUCUGUUGGAAUACAGCGGCAUAGUGGUGAGACCCCCGUAUAUGGUGCGGACGCCCAGCGCUUUGUGAUACAUUUUCGAAGAGUCGAGUUGUUUGGGAAUGCAGCUCAAAUUGGGUGGUAAAUUCCAUCUAAAGCUAAAUAUUGGCGAGAGACCGAUAGCGAACAAGUACCGUGAGGGAAAGAUGAAAAGCACUUUGGAAAGAGAGUUAACAGUACGUGAAAUUGUUGGAAGGGAAACGCUUGAAGUCAGACUUGCUUGCUGAGCAAUCGGUUUGCAGGCCAGCAUCAGUUUUCCGGGAUGGAUAAUGGUAGAGAGAAGGUAGCAGUUUCGGCUGUGUUAUAGCUCUCUGCUGGAUACAUCUUGGGGGACUGAGGAACGCAGUGUGCCUUUGGCGGGGGUUUCGACCUCUUCACACUUAGGAUGCUGGUGGAAUGGCUUUAAACGACCCGUCUUGACCC
Molecule: ribosomal RNA, 575 nt
Filed under: Rhodotorula mucilaginosa
Lineage: Eukaryota; Fungi; Basidiomycota; Microbotryomycetes; Sporidiobolales; Sporidiobolaceae
Description: partial large subunit ribosomal RNA
Rfam family: Eukaryotic large subunit ribosomal RNA
Source: RNAcentral